AUUCUACAAAUUUAGCUUAGCUUGGCUUAAAAGUAUAUUUCUACUACCCUGUCAGGAUAAGGUUUGGGAUAGCUGUAUCCCUGAGGGUAAAGCUGUGGUUGCAGGGUCUAGGAAAGGGUUGGCUCUUCGGAAGGACCUGGAAGGCCCAGGAGGAGAGAUGCGGAUGGUGAGGGUGUGAUCAGAGCCAUGGAGGACGCCUCAUUCUUGUCUCACAUGCUGUGCGUCAGAGCCCAGAGCCCGGGAGGGCAUGCUCACCUCUGCAGGGCGGCCCACCCUGGAGCUUGUGAUUCAGUAGGCCUGCGCUCGGCCCAGGAACCUGCCUUUCUGACAGUCCAGGUGAUGAAUGGUGUUUACAGAGAGAAGACAUGACACUGAUGAUGAUGGUUUUGGGAGCUCCUUUCCACACAACUAGAGAGCAUCACUGAAACUGAGCUGGAGGGCAAGGCAAGGAGCCAGCUUCUGUGUGAACCUUCUCAAUGAGGCCAUUCGGUUGCCCCACUGGCUCUUUGUCAGGCACAACUACGCUAAGGGAGUGUGUGUGCACCAAACGCCCUGGGGUCUUGUCAAAGGUAGAUUCUGACUCAGAAGAGUGGGCUGGGGUCAGAGAUGCUGCAUUUGUAACAAGCUUCUGGGUGAGCUGGAGGUGCUGGUCUGGGGGCCAGGUGUUGAGGCGCAAGGCUGCUGGGAGCUGCCUUGGCUGGCAGGCUCCCUCCUCUUGCUCAGCCUGCAUCACAGCAGGCCGUUCUGUUUCCAACCCCAGCUGCCCCUCACUCUGCCAGAUGCAGCAAUGUGAACGCAUUCUGGGGCAGAGCGUCCACAUCUUUGUCACUUCAGCCUGGGGACUGACUCAUUUGUAUGACAUGCUCAGCUCUUUGGAGAGAUGUUGGGCCAGAAAUGGACAUGGCAGCACACACUUUCUGGAAAAUGGGAAGCCAAAUUUUUUUUUCCAAUUAUUAUUUUCCACAGAUUCGGAGACUGCUUAAUUCCCAAUGAAAUACAACUUUUAGAUUGCAAGAUAAAAUAUGAAAAUUAUGUCCAAGCUCAAAACCACGGGAAAAUAGCAGAAAGAGCCUACACCAUGAGCAAAUAGAGAGCUAUGAAGUAUCUCUGCAGCCUGUUUCAAGUUCUGAAUUUACUUAUUAUCAGCUGUGUGUGUUUAUCCCGCCUACAGUAGGACCAGCUGGAGUUUUCAAUUUGCACCAUGGAUGAUGCUGACAGAAGUCUCCCUUGCAGCUGUUGGCUCCAAGGUUCUUCAAUGGCCAGAUGGUCAUCAGAAGCAUAAAAGUGACAGUUCCGAGGAGGAAGUGUCUUUCCCUAUUGCCUGUGGAAUAGAAAUUAAGUGGGUGUCCCAUGGCUCUCUUUCCUGGAGGGCCCUUUAAGGGACUCUGGAAGGCUGAACUCCAAAAGUUCCUUCCAAAGGAAAACAAACUCUGAAGAGGAGCCUUUGCCAGUGCUUCUCUGGGAUCUGGCUUCAGAAUUACUCCCAGUCUGAAAAGUAUACCCAGUGAUUUGGAGACUGAUGGAGGCCUGGGCACCCCAGCCUGUGGGGAGAAGCGGGAUUUCUGAGUGAUGGACUCAACCCUGACCCCAGAGAAAGGCUCCCUCCCUACAACUGCUCUGUGACUUUGUUGCUCCUGGAGGCCCCUCUCCCCACGUUUAAGACGUUCCCAGCCAGUUCACUCAGAGCCGUCAAACCAUUCCGCAGGGGAGGCCUGUUCUCAGCCACCAAAGUACUGCAUUAGCUAGCCCACAAGCCUGAUGGAGCCAGGCAUUGAUGAAAAGACGCCAUCCACCUGCACCAGCCUCUGCACACUGCUGAAAGAAUUCAGCACAUCCUACCAUCACUGGAAAAAAGGCAGCAUCAGCAGUAGUGUCGGCAGGAGCUGAGCUGAUUGGCGUGAACUCUCAGACACCUCAUACCACA
This 1924-nucleotide long non-coding RNA is filed under the name Equus caballus (horse). RNAcentral describes it as "lncRNA (ENSECAG00000050356.1)". Lineage: Eukaryota; Metazoa; Chordata; Mammalia; Perissodactyla; Equidae. The record is from RNAcentral.